RNAcentral lists this long non-coding RNA (1095 nucleotides) under Sus scrofa (pig). RNAcentral's name for it is "lncRNA (ENSSSCG00025018851.1, ENSSSCG00055017422.1, ENSSSCG00065074731.1)". The record is from RNAcentral. Lineage: Eukaryota; Metazoa; Chordata; Mammalia; Artiodactyla; Suidae.
UUCUUGGCAAACACAGGAGGCAGAGCUCCGGGAAACUCAGCAGUGGGAAUCCACAGACCUUCUCUCUAGGAUGCUGCCAUAUAAUGACUCCUGCUACCUCCUUCCAUCCAUUUGUGCCUUGGUUCAACUUUCGGGUUCCCAGGAGGGAGGAUCCAAUUGGUAGAGGUUGGUCGGGUACUCACCCUUUGGAAAAUUCAGUAUGGCCAGGAGCUGGGAGGGUUUGUUGGUCAAGCCUCACUUACUACCUGUUGCCAUCACCAGGGAUGGGCCUCAAGACCCCAAGGAGUGGGGUCUGCCUUUAGGAGAGCUUGGAGGGAGAGAUGCCAGCAAAGAAAAGCCAGAGCUGCAGUAGCGUCGCCCUUCUUGAAGCAAUGGUCAUGGCUGUGACUCUGGGACUGCUUGACUGAAUCCUCAUUAGCCCAUGUAAGAACCUGGACCCAACAGGCUGGACCUUGUCCUGAUCUCUCAUCCCUGCUCCAAAUGGAGGCAACUCAUUGACAGCAGAUGGGCCUGCAAUGGGAAAGCCAUCGGGGGUUUCAGCAGAGGACCGCAUGUUCCCAUCUCACUAUGAACUCACCCUGGCUUUCGGCCGGAAUGAAUAGCGAAGAGGAUGUCCAGAGAGACCAGCUGGGAGACGGACACAGGGACCGGAGGAAGAGGAAGGUGAUAGCUGCCCCAAAGCAACCCAGGGCGGAAAUGGUGGACAGUGAUGAUGAGUCAUUUACUGUGGGUAGGAGCAUAAAUUGCUACAACCACGUUGGAAAAGAGCUGGACAUUUGUUCGAAGCCUACGUACUCUGGAUGACCCAGCAGUGCCCCUCCUAGGCAGACACACCCGAAAGACACUUCCACGCACGUGUGUGAGAGUUCACAGCAGCACCGUUCAUACCAGCCAAGGGUUCGACACAACCCAAAUGUCCAUCAGCCGUUAGAUGGAUAAACCACAGGAGAGUCUUGCACUGCAACGCUCCGCAGCACCAACGUGAAUGAGCUGCCCUUUCCUUCUGUUUAAACAAGCCAGUCUCAAAAACAGUGUCAAGGAAAAGAAGCCAGUGUCAGAAAUAAAAUUCAAAGGUUCUGAAGCUUAAAUGAUAUA